AGUUUGAUCCUGGCUCAGGAUGAACGCUAGCUACAGGCUUAACACAUGCAAGUCGAGGGGAAACGAUAGAGAAAGCUUGCUUUUUCUAGGCGUCGACCGGCGCACGGGUGAGUAACGCGUAUCCAACCUGCCCACCACUUGGGAAUAACCUUGCGAAAGUAAGACUAAUACCCAAUGAUAUCUCUAGAAGACAUCUGAAAGAGAUUAAAGAUUUAUCGGUGAUGGAUGGGGAUGCGUCUGAUUAGCUUGUUGGCGGGGUAACGGCCCACCAAGGCGACGAUCAGUAGGGGUUCUGAGAGGAAGGUCCCCCACAUUGGAACUGAGACACGGUCCAAACUCCUACGGGAGGCAGCAGUGAGGAAUAUUGGUCAAUGGGCGAGAGCCUGAACCAGCCAAGUAGCGUGCAGGAUGACGGCCCUAUGGGUUGUAAACUGCUUUUAUAAGGGAAUAAAGUGAGCCUCGUGAGACUUUUUGCAUGUACCUUAUGAAUAAGGACCGGCUAAUUCCGUGCCAGCAGCCGCGGUAAUACGGAAGGUCCGGGCGUUAUCCGGAUUUAUUGGGUUUAAAGGGAGCGUAGGCCGGAGAUUAAGCGUGUUGUGAAAUGUAGACGCUCAACGUCUGCACUGCAGCGCGAACUGGUUUCCUUGAGUACGCACAAAGUGGGCGGAAUUCGUGGUGUAGCGGUGAAAUGCUUAGAUAUCACGAAGAACUCCGAUUGCGAAGGCAGCUCACUGGAGCGCAACUGACGCUGAAGCUCGAAAGUGCGGGUAUCGAACAGGAUUAGAUACCCUGGUAGUCCGCACGGUAAACGAUGGAUGCCCGCUGUUGGUCUGAAUAGGUCAGCGGCCAAGCGAAAGCAUUAAGCAUCCCACCUGGGGAGUACGCCGGCAACGGUGAAACUCAAAGGAAUUGACGGA
RNAcentral lists this ribosomal RNA (917 nucleotides) under uncultured bacterium. Its description in RNAcentral is "bacterial SSU rRNA". It matches the Rfam family "Bacterial small subunit ribosomal RNA", at positions 10 to 917 of the family's 1533-position model. The record is from RNAcentral.